CCUACGGGUGGCAGCAGUGAGGAAUAUUGGUCAAUGGGCGCAAGCCUGAACCAGCCAAGUCGCGUGAGGGAAGACGGCCCUACGGGUUGUAAACCUCUUUUGCCGGGGAGCAAGCCUGAGCACGUGUGCCCAGGCGGAGAGUACCCGGAGAAAAAGCAUCGGCUAACUCCGUGCCAGCAGCCGCGGUAAUACGGAGGAUGCGAGCGUUAUCCGGAUUUAUUGGGUUUAAAGGGUGCGCAGGCGGUCUGUUAAGUCAGCGGUCAAAGCCCGGGGCUCAACCCCGGCCCGCCGUUGAAACUGGCAGUCUCGAGUUGGAGAGAAGUAUGCGGAAUGCGCGGUGUAGCGGUGAAAUGCAUAGAUAUCGCGCAGAACUCCGAUUGCGAAGGCAGCAUGCCGGCUCCACACUGACGCUGAGGCACGAAAGCGUGGGUAUCGAACAGGAUUAGAUACCCGUGUAGUC
This 460-nucleotide ribosomal RNA is filed under the name uncultured bacterium. Its description in RNAcentral is "partial 16S ribosomal RNA". It matches the Rfam family "Bacterial small subunit ribosomal RNA", at positions 338 to 795 of the family's 1533-position model. The record is from RNAcentral.